UACGGAGGUCCCGAACGUUGCCCGGAUUUACUGGGCGUAAAGGGUGCGUAGGCGGUCUAUCAAGUGGGUGGUUAAAUUUCACGGCUCAACCGCGAAACUGCGUUCCAAACUGCGAGACUUGAGGGAGGGAGAGGGCAGCGGAAUUCUCGGUGUAGCGGUGAAAUGCGUAGAUACCGGGAGGAACGCCAGUGGCGAAGGCGGCUGACUGGAAGUGUCCUGACGCUGAGGGACGAAAGCUAGGGGAGCAAACCGG
This 253-nucleotide ribosomal RNA is filed under the name uncultured bacterium. RNAcentral's name for it is "partial 16S ribosomal RNA". It matches the Rfam family "Bacterial small subunit ribosomal RNA", at positions 524 to 776 of the family's 1533-position model. The record is from RNAcentral.